This 497-nucleotide ribosomal RNA is filed under the name uncultured bacterium. Its description in RNAcentral is "partial 16S ribosomal RNA". It matches the Rfam family "Bacterial small subunit ribosomal RNA", at positions 28 to 507 of the family's 1533-position model. The record is from RNAcentral.
GAUGAACGCUGGCGGCGUGCCUAAUACAUGCAAGUCGAGCGAACAGACGAGGAGCUUGCUCCUCUGACGUUAGCGGCGGACGGGUGAGUAACACGUGGAUAACCUACCUAUAAGACUGGGAUAACUUCGGGAAACCGGAGCUAAUACCGGAUAAUAUAUUGAACCGCAUGGUUCAAUAGUGAAAGACGGUUUUGCUGUCACUUAUAGAUGGAUCCGCGCCGCAUUAGCUAGUUGGUAAGGUAACGGCUUACCAAGGCAACGAUGCGUAGCCGACCUGGGAGGGUGGUCGGCCACACUGGAACUGAGACACGUUCCAGACUCCUACGGGAGGCAGCAGUAGGGAAUCUUCCGCAAUGGGCGAAAGCCUGACGGAGCAACGCCGCGUGAGUGAUGAAGGUCUUCGGAUCGUAAAACUCUGUUAUUAGGGAAGAACAAAUGUGUAAGUAACUAUGCACGUCUUGACGGUACCUAAUCAGAAAGCCACGGCUAACUACGUG